RNAcentral lists this long non-coding RNA (537 nucleotides) under Gopherus agassizii (Agassiz's desert tortoise). RNAcentral's name for it is "lncRNA (ENSGAGG00000011425.1)". The record is from RNAcentral. Lineage: Eukaryota; Metazoa; Chordata; Testudines; Testudinidae.
GAGCUCUCAGGCGAGGCAGAGGCACUCGGCGGCUGCCUGCUCCAUCUGCAGGGGCCAUCUUGUUAUUGACAUGUGUCGGGUCUCGCUCUGGCUUCCUGCAGUAGCCGGGUUGCAGCGCGCUCACAAAGAGCUGUCUGGCGUUAGCAGUGACCCCAGGCUGCAGGAAGUAGCUGGUUUUGCUUGGACACAGCGUGUCAGUAAAUGGUGCAAACUGCCACACGCAGAGACAAGAAGCUGCAGUGCACAGACCAGCAGAAACCAAACAGAAACCACAGAAAAUAAAAAGACACACCAGGCCUGGAAAGAAGGGACUCGGCAGAGGAGGAAGAUGACGACGAUGCAGGUCGGCACCUCUCACAGGUUCCAAAUAAAACCGAGGAAGCCGUGUUACCAUGGUUUAGGGAUAUCACACCAGCAGGAGCACUAUUUCUCUGCACUGCAAGAAGUGCGGUAAGAGGGAACACAUCAGUUAGGCUUACCACAGUGCCCCACAGAACAGCAAAGGAUGAGAUGAAGCCAUCAAUGACGGCAGGUAGG